UGUUGGAAGUACCUCCAUGGAGUUAUAGCUGAGCACUCAACAUAAUUUGUAGCAUCUUAUGUGUUUAACGACUGUUAUCAGAAGGUGUCAUGACACACAGCUAUGCUUGCUUGGAAGACCCGCCUUGGAUGUGGAUCAACAGCUUUUCAAUGAUUGCCGAAAAGCAGGUCUGUCAAUUACAACAACCUGUCGCAUAGUGGGUAUCAGUCGCCAAACUUACUACAAUAAAUUCAGAAGUCUGUCAUUUUCACCUGAAGAAAUAGAUGAUGUUGAAUUGACGACUAUCGUUCAGAAACUGAAGGAGGAGAAUAGAAAAUGUGGCGCUAGAUAUGUCAAGGGCCAUCUCACAGCCAACGCCAAGACCGCACCUCGAGAGAAAAUAAGACAAAAACUCCGCGAAAUUGAUCCUGUUGGCACUCUCUUUCGUCAAAGACUGAAGACAGGGAGAGUGAAUUACUUUAGUCCUGGACCAAAUCACGUCUGGCACAUAGAUGGGAACGAGAAAUUAAAAAUGUUUGGAUUGUAUAUCACUGGCUGUGUGGACGGUUAUAGCCGCAAGGCCUUUUACGCUUGUUGUGCCACUAACAAAGAGCAACAACAGUUCUUUAUCCAUUCAAAAGGGCGGUGGAAGAACAUGGUUUUCCUCUCAAGUUCACUUUCAGAUCGCUAUGCAUUAUGAGUACUGAGAGUCGUGGAAUUGUAUUGUAUGAUGGUCUCCCAUAAUUCUACCUAGACUAUUGGUUGUUUUCCUGUACUGUUUCUUUUUAUUCCCUCAGACAGUACGUAUGUAUUUACCUAUUUUUUGUCAAUUUUUUCAAGAAUUAAAAUUUGUUUUAAAAGAAAAUAUGAUUUUUUUUAAUAAUGAACCUGUGAAUAGUUUGAGAGCAGUAACAAAUUGAAUAGAAAAAAACAUCGAUGGACAAAUUCACAUUUAUCUGGAAGGGUUCUGCCUACAUUGAUGUUUAUACUUUCUGGUUAUGUUGUUUUUGACGCACAAAAUGAUUUAUUGAGCACCAGACAUCACAGUAGAAGACAGAAUUCUAAAUUUUAAAAGGCCUAUCUCAGGAUGAAGCAUCUUCUGAGAUGUUUUGAGCGUGUGAGUGAGGAGUAGCCAUCGCACUGCCCUUAACUAUAAUUGUGCCACCAGGAGAAUUUAAAAACGUAUAUACUUCCCAUUAUCUGCAAGCCAACCGUCUCACUCAAAAAUUCAAAUCUUUGCACAGCUAUUACAACCAGAACGAGCUCCAGCUUGUGGCUGUGUGAGUACGAGAACCAUAUUAACGGCCGGCUUAAUUAUUUACGCAUUUUAAUUUUUUUGAUGGCCAUGUUCCAAAUUCAAUCAUAAGCUGCUUCUCGUUGAGGUAUUAUUGCUGGAUCAUUCAGGGCCGGACUGGCCAUUAGGAGACAGCCCAGUAGUCCGGUAAAGGGUUUUUUUUCCUUGCUAGUUUGCAGGUAUAAUUUCCGGAAAGUUUUGAUCGCCCAAGGACUGCUGCCACUGCGGUUGAUGGGCCGGACUGUUGACUCGUUAACAAUUUCUAUUUGAAAAUGGUCGAUUUUUUCGGUGAUUUCAUCGGCAUUCAGCAGCCACAAUUGAUGAGCCGGGGCGGUCCGAACCUUCCAUUUUCUUACUCCCUUUUUUCAAUGCUUGCCAAAAAAAGUCCUUUCACCAAGAGGCUAUUCAUCAUUUAGUAAUGUAACUACUCUUUUACGUUCCUCAUUCAUGAAUAUAAUAAUUAUAGGAUUUUAAAUUCGUAACGAAAUUGUCAUUUUCCGAAAUAAGAAAUGAAAAGUGUCAUCUGAUAAUUUCUCCAACGUGUCUUUUUCAUCAGUAAGUAACAGUCUAUUAAAUGUCAUGAAAAAUUCGAAAUAAUUUUUAAGUGGUUUGUCUGAGGAUAAUAAUACUAAAAAAGAAAGAAAUAAACAUAAAUUUAAAAAAA
RNAcentral lists this long non-coding RNA (1937 nucleotides) under Bemisia tabaci. Its description in RNAcentral is "lncRNA ENSSSA1UGG005291". The record is from RNAcentral. Lineage: Eukaryota; Metazoa; Arthropoda; Insecta; Hemiptera; Aleyrodidae.